AUACGUAGGUGACAAGCGUUAUCCGGAUUUACUGGGCGUAAAGGGUGCGUAGGUGGUCUUUCAAGUCGGUGGUUAAAGGCUACGGCUCAACCGUAUUAAGCCGCCGAAACUGGAAGACUUGAGUGCAGGAGAGGAAAGUGGACUUCUCAGUGUAGCGGUGAAAUGCGUAGAUAUUGAGAAGAACACCAGUAGCGAAGGCGGCUUUCUGGACUGUAACUGACACUGAGGCACGAAAGCGUGGGUAGCAAACAGGAUUAGAUACCCUGGUAGUCCACGCCGUAAACGAUGAGUAUUAGGUGUCGGGGGUUACCCCCCUCGGUGCCGCAGUUAACGCAUUAAAUACUCCGCCUGGGGAGUACGCACGCAAGGGUGAAACUCAAAGGAAUUGACGGGG
RNAcentral lists this ribosomal RNA (394 nucleotides) under uncultured bacterium. RNAcentral describes it as "partial 16S ribosomal RNA". It matches the Rfam family "Bacterial small subunit ribosomal RNA", at positions 523 to 918 of the family's 1533-position model. The record is from RNAcentral.